RNAcentral lists this ribosomal RNA (220 nucleotides) under uncultured bacterium. Its description in RNAcentral is "partial 16S ribosomal RNA". It matches the Rfam family "Bacterial small subunit ribosomal RNA", at positions 57 to 305 of the family's 1533-position model. The record is from RNAcentral.
GCAAGUCGAGCGCUACCUUCGGGUGGAGCGGCGGACGGGUUAGUAACGCGUGGGAACAUACCCUUUUCUACGGAAUAGCCUCGGGAAACUGAGAGUAAUACCGUAUACGCCCUUUUGGGGAAAGAUUUAUCGGUGAAGGAUUGGCCCGCGUUAGAUUAGAUAGUUGGUGGGGUAAUGGCCUACCAAGGCUGCGAUGGUUAGCUGGUUUGAGAGAAUGAUC